RNAcentral lists this ribosomal RNA (460 nucleotides) under uncultured bacterium. RNAcentral's name for it is "partial 16S ribosomal RNA". It matches the Rfam family "Bacterial small subunit ribosomal RNA", at positions 338 to 795 of the family's 1533-position model. The record is from RNAcentral.
CCUACGGGAGGCAGCAGUGAGGAAUAUUGGUCAAUGGACGAGAGUCUGAACCAGCCAAGUAGCGUGAAGGAUGACUGCCCUAUGGGUUGUAAACUUCUUUUAUAUGGGAAUAAAACGUUCCACGUGUGGGAUUUUGUAUGUACCAUAUGAAUAAGGAUCGGCUAACUCCGUGCCAGCAGCCGCGGUAAUACGGAGGAUCCGAGCGUUAUCCGGAUUUAUUGGGUUUAAAGGGAGCGUAGGUGGAUUGUUAAGUCAGUUGUGAAAGUUUGCGGCUCAACCGUAAAAUUGCAGUUGAAACUGGCAGUCGUGAGUACAGUAGAGGUGGGCGGAAUUCGUGGUGUAGCGGUGAAAUGCUUAGAUAUCACGAAGAACUCCGAUUGCGAAGGCAGCUCACUGGACUGCAACUGACACUGAGGCUCGAAAGUGUGGGUAUCAAACAGGAUUAGAUACCCUAGUAGUC